RNAcentral lists this unclassified non-coding RNA (150 nucleotides) under uncultured Dothideomycetes. RNAcentral's name for it is "sequence contains ITS2". Lineage: Eukaryota; Fungi; Ascomycota; Dothideomycetes. The record is from RNAcentral.
CACCACUCAAGCCUGGCUUGGUAUUGGGCGGCGGGGUGUACCCGCGCCUGAAUUUCACCGGCGAAACGACCCGUAUCUCAGCGUUGUGGUAAUCAAUCUCGCUGGCGAGAAGGGGCGGCUCACGCCGUUAACCAAAACUUUUUAAUCAGG